UGCAGCGGGUCUAUGUUGUGGAGGUGCU
This 28-nucleotide small RNA is filed under the name Bombyx mori (domestic silkworm). Its description in RNAcentral is "ovarian small RNA-33511". Lineage: Eukaryota; Metazoa; Arthropoda; Insecta; Lepidoptera; Bombycidae. The record is from RNAcentral.